This is an unclassified non-coding RNA of Gorilla gorilla gorilla (western lowland gorilla), 95 nucleotides long. It matches the Rfam family "Y RNA". From Rfam's summary of the family: Y RNAs are components of the Ro ribonucleoprotein particle (Ro RNP), in association with Ro60 and La proteins. The Y RNAs and Ro60 and La proteins are well conserved, but the function of the Ro RNP is not known. The record is from Ensembl. NCBI's taxonomy places the organism in Eukaryota, Metazoa, Chordata, Mammalia, Primates, Hominidae.
GGCUGGUCUGAUGGUAGAGAGUUAUUAUAAUGUAUUAACAUUAGCGUCACUAAAGUUGGUAUACAACCCCCCACUACUAAAUGUGACUGUCUAAA